UUGGAGGGCAAGUCUGGUGCCAGCAGCCGCGGUAAUUCCAGCUCCAAUAGCGUAUAUUAAAGUUGUUGCAGCUAAAAAGCUCGUAGUUGAAUUUCGGGGUCAGUAGGUCGGUCGUGCCACUGGUAUGAACUGGUUUUACUGAUUCCUCCCUCUUGAAGAACUGUAAUGCCAUUAAUUUGGUGUUGCAGGGAAUCAGGACUGUUACUUUGAAAAAAUUAGAGUGUUUAAAGCAGGCUUUAGCUUGAAUACAUUAGCAUGGAAUAAUGAAAUGGGACGUUUGAUCCUAUUUUGUUGGUUUCUAGGAUUGACGUAAUGAUUAAUAGGGAUAGUUGGGGGCAUUAGUAUUCAAUUGUCAGAGGUGAAAUUCUUGGAUUUAUUGAAGACUAACUACUGCGAAAGCAUUUGCCAAGGAUGUUUUCAUUAAUCAAGAACGAAAGUUAGGGGAUCGAAGACGAUCAGAUACCGUCGUAGUCUUAACCAUAAACUAUGCCGACUAGGGAUCGGAUGAUGUUAAUUUUUUAAUGACUCAUUCGGCGCCUUACGGGAAAC
This 549-nucleotide ribosomal RNA is filed under the name uncultured Glomeromycotina. Its description in RNAcentral is "SSU rRNA". It matches the Rfam family "Eukaryotic small subunit ribosomal RNA", at positions 548 to 1098 of the family's 1831-position model. Lineage: Eukaryota; Fungi; Glomeromycota. The record is from RNAcentral.